This 161-nucleotide non-coding RNA is filed under the name human gut metagenome. Its description in RNAcentral is "Lysine riboswitch". It matches the Rfam family "Lysine riboswitch aptamer". From Rfam's summary of the family: Riboswitches are metabolite binding domains within certain messenger RNAs that serve as precision sensors for their corresponding targets. The record is from RNAcentral.
CUGAUAGAGGUGCGGGACAGAUCAGUAGCGCUGCCAUUACAGUCUGCGGAGACCGGCUGCGUGAAAGGCUUACCGCCGAAGAAUGCAUAUUCCGUGAUGUGCAUGUCUGGCUGUGCGUCAAACAGGCGUCCGGUUGUCAUCGGUCUGAUGGAGAGCUAUCG